GACAAAUGCAUGAUUCAGGCCUUGGGCAGACACAUAUUGAUCCAAUUAGAGCCAAUAAUGCUCUUGAUCAGGUGAUGAUGGAGCAGCGUCUUUUACAUGAGCUACAGCAACAAUCUCAUCAUCAACAAAGAUCUGUUGAUCCAUCUUUUGAGCAGCUUUUCAAAGCGAAGUUUGGUCACUUGCCACCACACCAAGAACAAAGAGAUUUGUCUGAAUUAAUAUCUCGGGCUCAGCA
Molecule: unclassified non-coding RNA, 235 nt
Filed under: Hevea brasiliensis (rubber tree)
Lineage: Eukaryota; Viridiplantae; Streptophyta; Magnoliopsida; Malpighiales; Euphorbiaceae
Source: RNAcentral